Molecule: ribosomal RNA, 465 nt
Filed under: Vreelandella stevensii
Lineage: Bacteria; Pseudomonadati; Pseudomonadota; Gammaproteobacteria; Oceanospirillales; Halomonadaceae
Description: partial 16S ribosomal RNA
Rfam family: Bacterial small subunit ribosomal RNA
Source: RNAcentral
CCUACGGGCGGCAGCAGUGGGGAAUAUUGGACAAUGGGGGCAACCCUGAUCCAGCCAUGCCGCGUGUGUGAAGAAGGCCCUCGGGUUGUAAAGCACUUUCAGUGAGGAAGAACGCCUGGUGGUUAAUACCCAUCAGGAAAGACAUCACUCACAGAAGAAGCACCGGCUAACUCCGUGCCAGCAGUCGCGGUAAUACGGAGGGUGCGAGCGUUAAUCGGAAUUACUGGGCGUAAAGCGCGCGUAGGUGGCUUGAUAAGCCGGUUGUGAAAGCCCCGGGCUCAACCUGGGAACGGCAUCCGGAACUGUCAAGCUAGAGUGCAGGAGAGGAAGGUAGAAUUCCCGGUGUAGCGGUGAAAUGCGUAGAGAUCGGGAGGAAUACCAGUGGCGAAGGCGGCCUUCUGGACUGACACUGACACUGAGGUGCGAAAGCGUGGGUAGCAAACAGGAUUAGAUACCCCAGUAGUC